AUACUCUAAUAGUUUAUAAAAACAUU
RNAcentral lists this transfer RNA (26 nucleotides) under Cairina moschata (Muscovy duck). RNAcentral's name for it is "partial tRNA-Thr". Lineage: Eukaryota; Metazoa; Chordata; Aves; Anseriformes; Anatidae. RNAcentral also lists the same sequence under 3 other names. The record is from RNAcentral.